Molecule: microRNA precursor, 64 nt
Filed under: Choloepus hoffmanni (Hoffmann's two-fingered sloth)
Lineage: Eukaryota; Metazoa; Chordata; Mammalia; Pilosa; Megalonychidae
Description: miRNA (ENSCHOG00000014729.1)
Source: RNAcentral
AGGGCUCUGGACUCCUAGUCCAAUGCUUGGUACUGCCGGGGGCCUCCCAGGUCUCUGAUGGCCU